This 301-nucleotide ribosomal RNA is filed under the name uncultured bacterium. Its description in RNAcentral is "partial 16S ribosomal RNA". It matches the Rfam family "Bacterial small subunit ribosomal RNA", at positions 509 to 807 of the family's 1533-position model. The record is from RNAcentral.
CAGCCGCCGCGGGAAUACGAAGGGGGCUAGCGUUGCUCGGAAUGACUGGGCGUAAAGGGCGCGUGGGCGGUUUGUACAGUUAGAUGUGAAAGCCCUGGGCUCAACCUAGGAAUUGCAUUUGAUACUGUUUGGCUUGAGUUCGGGAGAGGUGAGUGGAAUUCCCAGUGUAGUGGUGAAAUUCGUAGAUAUUGGGAAGAACACCAGUAGCGAAGGCGGCUCACUGGACCGACACUGACGCUGAGGCGCGAAAGCGUGGGGAGCAAACAGGAUUAGAUACCCGUGUAGUCCCUGUCUCUUAUAC